This 253-nucleotide ribosomal RNA is filed under the name uncultured bacterium. RNAcentral describes it as "partial 16S ribosomal RNA". It matches the Rfam family "Bacterial small subunit ribosomal RNA", at positions 524 to 776 of the family's 1533-position model. The record is from RNAcentral.
UACGGAGGGUGCAAGCGUUAUCCGGAUUCACUGGGUUUAAAGGGUGCGUAGGCGGGUAAGUAAGUCCGUGGUGAAAUCUCUGAGCUUAACUCAGAAACUGCCGUGGAUACUAUUUGCCUUGAAUAUUGUGGAGGUGAGCGGAAUAUGUCAUGUAGCGGUGAAAUGCUUAGAUAUGGCAUAGAACACCAAUUGCGAAGGCAGCUCACUACACAAUCAUUGACGCUGAGGCACGAAAGCGUGGGGAUCAAACAGG